AUGGCGAUUAUUAGAGAAGCCUCUUCUUCUGCUCCUCCUCCUUCCACCCAUCCAUGGAAAUACCAUGUCUUUUUGAGUUUCAGAGGUGAAGAUACCCGCAACAACUUCACAGGCCAUUUGUGCAGUGCUUUGCGUCACAAGGGAAUCAACACAUUCAUGGAUGACGAGCUCAGAAGAGGAGAAGAUAUCUCUACAGCGCUUCUCCAAGCAAUCGAAGAGUCGAAGAUAUCAAUCGUUGUGCUCUCUGAAAACUAUGCAUCCUCCAAAUGGUGCUUGGAUGAACUCGUCAAGAUCCUCGACUGCAAAGAAUCAAAACAGCAACUGGUCCGGCCAGUUUUCUUCAAAGUCGAUCCCUCGGAUAUACGAAAUCACAGAGGCAGCUUUGGUGAGGCACUUGCAUACCUUGAAUACAAGUUCAAGGAUAACAUGGAGAAAGUGCAGAAAUGGAAGGCAGCUCUUACAGAAGCGGCAAAUUUGUCUGGGUGGACUCUAUCAGACCAGUGUUCUGAAUCCAGUGCUAUUGAAAAAAUCAUUGAAGAGAUUUCAGAGCAAGUCAUAAACAGUACAUAUUUGGAUGUGGCCAAGUACCCAGUAGGGAUGAGAGCUCGUGUGCAAGAGAUCCAUAAGCUUUUAGGUGCUCCAGGAAGAGAUGUUCAUAUGUUAGGGAUAUGGGGGGUUGGUGGAAUAGGCAAGACAACAGUUGCCAGAGCUGUCUUUAACUCAAUCGCUCAUAAAUUUGAUGGGUGUUGUUUUUUAGAAGAUGUUAGAGAAAAUUCAAAGGGAGCUAGAGGCUUAGUCAAACUACAAAAGAUACUUCUCUGUGAAAUUCUAAGGGGAACAAAAUUGGAGGUGGCCAAUGUAGCUAGAGGUAUCACUAUGAUCAAGGAAAGGUUGCAAUACAGAAGUGUUCUCUUGGUUCUUGAUGAUGUGAAUGGCAUGGAUCAGUUAGACAACUUAGCUGGUCAAUGUAGUUGGUUUGGUAAGGGUAGUAAAAUCAUCAUAACAACGAGGGAUAAGCAAUUGCUGAGAGGUCAUAGUGUUGAUUUAAUAUACGAGGUUCAAGGAUUGGCUCGAGGUGAAGCUCUUGAGCUUUUUUGUAUGAAUGCCUUUAACAGAUGUCGACCUUUGGAUGGUUAUGCAGAACUCACAGAACUUGCAGUACGCUAUGCUCAAGGCCUUCCAUUGGCUUUGGUUGUUUUAGGUUCUUCUCUAUGCAAUGAAAACGUAGAGCUGUGGGAAGCUGCAUUAGAUGGUUUCAAAAGUAGUAAAAUUCAAGAUGUUUUAGAAAUUAGUUACAAUGGAUUGGAUGACAGAGGGAAGGAAGCUUUUCUUGACAUUGCAUGUUUCUUUAAAGGUGAAAACCGAGAAUGUGUGACAAAAACACUAGAAGCUUGUGGCAGCAAAAGGUAUGUUAUUAAUGUGCUCAUAGAAAAGUCUCUCAUUAGUAUUAGAUCCGGGGGUGACAUUAUUUGGAUGCAUGACUUGCUAGAAGAAAUGGGUAAAGAUAUAGUUCACAGACAGUCACCCAAUGACCCUGGAAAGCGUAGCAGGUUGUGGUUUCAUGAAGACGUUUACCGUGUUCUAACAGAUAAUACGGGAACCAACAACGUUAGAGGCAUUAAGGUGAAGCUACCUGAGCAUUCAGGUGUUGUAUGCUUUAGUGGCACCACUUUCUCUAACAUGCGAAACUAGACUGUUUAUAUACCGUGCUGGAAGCUAUUCUGGAGUUGUUGAUAAUAUGCCAGAUAGCUUGAGGGUAGUUGAUUGGCCUGACUGUCGCUUACAAGUUUUGUCAUCCAAUCUUCCAAGAGAACUUGCUCUACUCAAUAUGCCUAGGAGUCGCAUCACAGUAUUGGGAAAUGGACUCAAGGUAUGCUCUUUUGGAUCGUUUCACAUAUUUAUGCUUGAGGCUUUUCCAACGGAAGUUAGUUGGAAAUCCAUGAGGGAGGUUCAGCUUGGUUAUUGUCCGAGGCUUAAGAACUUCAUAAACAUUGUGCAUAAGAUGGAAUCUAUUAGAGAAUUGAAUCUAUAUGGAAGUGGCAUAAAAGAACUCCGUUCAUGGAUUGGAUAUUGCACUUCCUUGGAAGUUUUGAAUUUGCUUGGAACUCCAGUCAGACAACUGCCUUCAACAAUUGGGUAUUUAACAUCCUUGGUGAAACUGGAAGUGUCCGAAACUCUCAUUGAAGAACUGCCUUCAACGAUUGAAAAUCUUACUUCUUUAAGAGACUUGAAGCUGUCUGAAACUCUCCUCAAACGAUUCCCAUCAUCGAUUGGGAGUCUCACAUCCUUGGUGAAAUUGGACGCGUCUGAAACUCUCAUUGAAGAACUGCCUUCAUCAAUUGGGUGUCUCACUUCUUUAAGACAGUUCAACCUGUCCAAAACUCCCCUUAAAGGAUUUCCAUCAUCAAUGGGGUGUCUCACUUCCUUGGAGGAAUUGGAUGCCUCUGAAACUCUAAUCGAAGAAUUGCCUCCAUCAAUUGGGGAUCUCACUUCUUUAAGAGAAUUGAAUCUGUCUACAACUUCCAUCAAAGAAUUGCCAUCAUCAAUCGGUAACCUCACUUCCUUAUUUCAAUUGAAUGUGUCCAAAACUCCCAUUAAAGAACUGGCUUCAUCAAUUGGUUGUCUCACUUCCUUACUGAAAUUGGACGCUUCUGAAACUCUCAUUGAAGAAUUGCCUUUGUCAUUUCGAUAUCUCAUUCGCCUUCAACAUUUAAAACUAAAAGGAUGUGCCAACCUUACAAAUGUGUCGCACAGUGUUUAUGGAGGGCUGCAACAUUUAGAAGGACUAGACCUCUCUUGGUGCCCUAAACUGGUUACAUUUCCAAGAAUGAUGAGCACAUUGGUUUCAUCUAGUGCAGAAUCACUUCCUCUGAUGCUUCAAAACAAUUCAAACAAUGGGCAUGAUGAUUGUGGUCGAUUAUUGUUUCCCCAGCUAGGGUGUCUACGUUUUGAAGAAUGCAAAUUAUCAGUCUCUGAUUUCCUUUCGGAUCUUGACUGUGUGUCCACAUUAGAGAUACUUAAUCUAUCAGGAAGUAGUUUUGAUAGCCUUCCGAUUUUCAAAAUUGUCAAAUGUACUGCAACAGAAAGACACUCUGGGACUUCUUUGGAGGAUGCACUUGUCUAA
RNA transcript from Fragaria vesca subsp. vesca, 3124 nucleotides. It is a transcript of the gene named TMV resistance protein N-like, with no coding region annotated. The record is from RefSeq and is a predicted model, not a curated record. NCBI's taxonomy places the organism in Eukaryota, Viridiplantae, Streptophyta, Magnoliopsida, Rosales, Rosaceae. The transcript has 5 exons.